Molecule: ribosomal RNA, 563 nt
Filed under: Peckia uncinata
Lineage: Eukaryota; Metazoa; Arthropoda; Insecta; Diptera; Sarcophagidae
Description: partial 12S ribosomal RNA
Rfam family: tRNA (bases 353-424)
Source: RNAcentral
GAGGAACCUGUUUUGUAAUCGAUAAUCCACGAUGGACCUUACUUAAAUUUGUAUUCAGUUUAUAUACCGUCGUUAUUAGAAUAUUUUAUAAGAAAGUUAAUUUUCAAGAUUUUUAAAUAGAAAGAAUAUCAGAUCAAGGUGUAGCUUAUGUUUAAGUAAAAAUGGGUUACAAUAAAUUUAUUUAGAUGAAUAUAAAUUUGAAAUGUUUAUUGAAGGUGGAUUUGAUAGUAAAAUUAUAAAGAUAAAUAAUUUGAUUUUAGCUCUAAAAUAUGCACACAUCGCCCGUCACUCUUAUUAUUAAGGUAAGAUAAGUCGUAACAUAGUAGAUGUACUGGAAAGUGUACCUAGAAUGCAAUUUAAAGCUUAUUAAGUAAAGCAUUUCAUUUACAUUGAAAAGAUUUUUGUGCAAAUCAAUAUAAAUUGAUUAUAUUUUAUUUAUUAAUUAAUUUUUUUUUUAUUAUAAAUUAUUAAAAAUAAUUAUUAAUUGAUUUGUUUAAGUAUUUUAUAAAGAAAAAAUAAUUUUAAUUAUAGUUAAAUAGUAUUGUGAAAGAAAAUUGAAAUAA